GAUGAACGCUGGCGGCGUGCCUAAUACAUGCAAGUCGAGCGAACAGAUGAGGAGCUUGCUCCUCUGACGUUAGCGGCGGACGGGUGAGUAACACGUGGAUAACCUACCUAUAGGACUGGGAUAACUUCGGGAAACCGGAGCUAAUACCGGAUAAUAUAUUGAACCGCAUGGUUCAAUAGUGAAAGACGGUUUUGCUGUCACUUAUAGAUGGAUCCGCGCCGCAUUAGCUAGUUGGUAAGGUAACGGCUUACCAAAGCAACGAUGCGUAGCCGACCUGAGAGGGUGAUCGGCCACACUGGAACUGAGACACGGUCCAGACUCCUACGGGAGGCAGCAGUAGGGAAUCUUCCGCAAUGGGCGAAAGCCUGACGGAGCAACGCCGCGUGAGUGAUGAAGGUCUUCGGAUCGUAAAACUCUGUUAUUAGGGAAGAACAAAUGUGUAAGUAACUAUGCACGUCUUGACGGUACCUAAUCAGAAAGCCACGGCUAACUACGUG
RNAcentral lists this ribosomal RNA (497 nucleotides) under uncultured bacterium. RNAcentral describes it as "partial 16S ribosomal RNA". It matches the Rfam family "Bacterial small subunit ribosomal RNA", at positions 28 to 507 of the family's 1533-position model. The record is from RNAcentral.